CAUCCUCCAAGGCUAAAUACUCCUGACUGACCGAUAGUGAACCAGUACCGUGAGGGAAAGGCGAAAAGAACCCCGGCGAGGGGAGUGAAAAAGAACCUGAAACCGUGUACGUACAAGCAGUGGGAGCCCCACCACCAAAGCAUUCUCUGGUGUUGAAGGCCCUGCAAAGCAGCAUCGCGGUGGCGGAGCGUCGUUUGCGACGCCCAACACACAAAACAAGCGGUGAAUGCUUUGGGGUGGGGUGACUGCGUACCUUUUGUAUAAUGGGUCAGCGACUUAUAUUCUGUAGCAAGGUUAACCGAAUAGGGGAGCCGGAGGGAAACCGAGUCUUAAUUGGGCGUUAAGUUGCAGGGUAUAGACCCGAAACCCGGUGAUCUAGCCAUGGGCAGGUUGAAGGUUGGGUAACACUAACUGGAGGACCGAACCGACUAAUGUUGAAAAAUUAGCGGAUGACCUGUGGCUGGGGGUGAAAGGCCAAUCAAACCGGGAGAUAGCUGGUUCUCCCCGAAAGCUAUUUAGGUAGCGCCUCGUGAAUUCAUCUCCGGGGGUAGAGCACUGUUUCGGCUAGGGGGCCAUCCCGGCUUACCAACCCGAUGCAAACUGCGAAUACCGGAGAAUGUUAUCACGGGAGACACACGGCGGGUGCUAACGUCCGUCGUGAAGAGGGAAACAACCCAGACCGCCAGCUAAGGUCCCAAAGUCAUGGUUAAGUGGGAAACGAUGUGGGAAGGCCCAGACAGCCAGGAUGUUGGCUUAGAAGCAGCCAUCAUUUAAAGAAAGCGUAAUAGCUCACUGGUCGAGUCGGCCUGCGCGGAAGAUGUAACGGGGCUAAACCAUGCACCGAAGCUGCGGCAGCGA
This 858-nucleotide ribosomal RNA is filed under the name Salmonella enterica subsp. enterica serovar Heidelberg. RNAcentral's name for it is "bacterial LSU rRNA". It matches the Rfam family "Bacterial large subunit ribosomal RNA", at positions 454 to 1211 of the family's 2925-position model. Lineage: Bacteria; Pseudomonadati; Pseudomonadota; Gammaproteobacteria; Enterobacterales; Enterobacteriaceae. The record is from RNAcentral.